This 343-nucleotide unclassified non-coding RNA is filed under the name soil metagenome. RNAcentral describes it as "partial contains 5.8S ribosomal RNA, internal transcribed spacer 2, and large subunit ribosomal RNA". The stretch from base 1 to 120 matches the Rfam family "5.8S ribosomal RNA", at positions 35 to 154 of the family's 154-position model. The record is from RNAcentral.
GAUGAAGAACGUAGCGAAAUGCGAUAAGUAAUGUGAAUUGCAGAAUUCAGUGAAUCAUCGAAUCUUUGAACGCACAUUGCGCCCGCCAGCAUUCUGGCGGGCAUGCCUGUUCGAGCGUCAUUUCAACCCUCGAGCCCCCCCGGGGGCCUCGGUGUUGGGGGACGGCACACCAGCCGCCCCCGAAAUGCAGUGGCGACCCCGCCGCAGCCUCCCCUGCGUAGUAGCACACACCUCGCACCGGAGCGCGGAGGCGGUCACGCCGUAAAACGCCCAACUUUCUUAGAGUUGACCUCGGAUCAGGUAGGAAUACCCGCUGAACUUAAGCAUAUCAAUAAGCGGCGGA